UUAGUUACCAGCACGUUAUGGUGGGCACUCUAAGGAGACUGCCGGUGACAAACCGGAGGAAGUGGGGAUGACGUCAAGUCAUCAUGGCCCUUACGGGCUGGGCUACACACGUGCUACAAUGGUGGUGACAGUGGGCAGCGAGCACGCGAGUGUGAGCUAAAUCUCCAAAAGCCAUCUCAGUUCGGAUUGCACUCUGCAACUCGAGUGCAUGAAGUUGGAAUCGCUAGUAAUCGCGGAUCAGAACGCCGCGGUGAAUACGUUCUCGGGGUUU
RNAcentral lists this ribosomal RNA (271 nucleotides) under uncultured Ochrobactrum sp. Its description in RNAcentral is "partial 16S ribosomal RNA". It matches the Rfam family "Bacterial small subunit ribosomal RNA", at positions 1111 to 1382 of the family's 1533-position model. The record is from RNAcentral. Lineage: Bacteria; Pseudomonadati; Pseudomonadota; Alphaproteobacteria; Hyphomicrobiales; Brucellaceae.